This 465-nucleotide ribosomal RNA is filed under the name uncultured Klebsiella sp. RNAcentral describes it as "bacterial SSU rRNA". It matches the Rfam family "Bacterial small subunit ribosomal RNA", at positions 338 to 795 of the family's 1533-position model. The record is from RNAcentral. Lineage: Bacteria; Pseudomonadati; Pseudomonadota; Gammaproteobacteria; Enterobacterales; Enterobacteriaceae.
CCUACGGGUGGCAGCAGUGGGGAAUAUUGCACAAUGGGCGCAAGCCUGAUGCAGCCAUGCCGCGUGUGUGAAGAAGGCCUUCGGGUUGUAAAGCACUUUCAGCGGGGAGGAAGGCGUUAAGGUUAAUAACCUUGGCGAUUGACGUUACCCGCAGAAGAAGCACCGGCUAACUCCGUGCCAGCAGCCGCGGUAAUACGGAGGGUGCAAGCGUUAAUCGGAAUUACUGGGCGUAAAGCGCACGCAGGCGGUCUGUCGAGUCGGAUGUGAAAUCCCCGGGCUCAACCUGGGAACUGCAUUCGAAACUGGCAGGCUAGAGUCUUGUAGAGGGGGGUAGAAUUCCAGGUGUAGCGGUGAAAUGCGUAGAGAUCUGGAGGAAUACCGGUGGCGAAGGCGGCCCCCUGGACAAAGACUGACGCUCAGGUGCGAAAGCGUGGGGAGCAAACAGGAUUAGAUACCCGAGUAGUC